GUUCACACUAAAUGACCAAAUUGAAGCUCGAAUCAAGACUCAAAUCACUGCAUGAACACAUAAAAACGAUCACCUAGUCAUGGGGAUCACAAGUUUGACGAUUAACAAGCUAGGUGAAAGCUUGGGAACGAAGCGGGUCAAACGAAGCAAGAAUGACGGAAAAGCAUAAUUUGGAUGUAAGGAGUAAAUGUCAAAUGAGUAUUAGCAACAUUAUGGAUUUGCGGUUAUAAAAGCAAGGUAUUAAAAAUGGAUCAAUAUAUUGAUCCGCGCCAGGUAUGUGAAAAAGGGUAACACUCAUUUAGAAUAUGCGGUUCGAUGAGUGU
This is a long non-coding RNA of Helianthus annuus (common sunflower), 323 nucleotides long. RefSeq lists it as uncharacterized. The record is from RefSeq and is a predicted model, not a curated record. The transcript is spliced from 3 exons. Lineage: Eukaryota; Viridiplantae; Streptophyta; Magnoliopsida; Asterales; Asteraceae.